RNAcentral lists this ribosomal RNA (668 nucleotides) under Escherichia coli. RNAcentral describes it as "partial 23S ribosomal RNA". It matches the Rfam family "Bacterial large subunit ribosomal RNA", at positions 1 to 700 of the family's 2925-position model. The record is from RNAcentral. Lineage: Bacteria; Pseudomonadati; Pseudomonadota; Gammaproteobacteria; Enterobacterales; Enterobacteriaceae.
GGGUUGUGAGGUUAAGCGACUAAGCGUACACGGUGGAUGCCCUGGCAGUCAGAGGCGAUGAAGGACGUGCUAAUCUGCGAUAAGCGUCGGUAAGGUGAUAUGAACCGUUAUAACCGGCGAUUUCCGAAUGGGGAAACCCAGUGUGAUUCGUCACACUAUCAUUAACUGAAUCCAUAGGUUAAUGAGGCGAACCGGGGGAACUGAAACAUCUAAGUACCCCGAGGAAAAGAAAUCAACCGAGAUUCCCCCAGUAGCGGCGAGCGAACGGGGAGGAGCCCAGAGCCUGAAUCAGUGUGUGUGUUAGUGGAAGCGUCUGGAAAGGCGCGCGAUACAGGGUGACAGCCCCGUACACAAAAAUGCACAUGCUGUGAGCUCGAUGAGUAGGGCGGGACACGUGGUAUCCUGUCUGAAUAUGGGGGGACCAUCCUCCAAGGCUAAAUACUCCUGACUGACCGAUAGUGAACCAGUACCGUGAGGGAAAGGCGAAAAGAACCCCGGCGAGGGGAGUGAAAAAGAACCUGAAACCGUGUACGUACAAGCAGUGGGAGCACAGAGCAAUCUGUGUGACUGCGUACCUUUUGUAUAAUGGGUCAGCGACUUAUAUUCUGUAGCAAGGUUAACCGAAUAGGGGAGCCGAAGGGAAACCGAGUCUUAACCGGGCGUUAAGU